AUUGUAUCGUUUGCUGUUCAAAAACUGGGUGAUUUCCUCAUACAAGAAGUUGCCCUGUUUAGAAGUCUGAGAGAGGAUGUGCAGUGGCUGAGAAAUGAGCUGCUCUUCAUGCAAUCUUUCCUCAAAGAUGCAGAACAAAAGCAAAAUGAAGAUCAAAAAGUUGAACAAUGGGUGUUUGAAAUCAACUCUAUUGCUAAUGACGCUGUGGCUAUACUCGAGACUUACACCUUCGAGUCUGAUAAAGGUAGUGACCCUGGAUUUGCUAGCCAUCUGAUGGCUUGCGCCUGCAUAUGUACGAAGGAGACCAAAUUCUACAAAGUCGGCAAGGAGAUCCAAUCACUGAAGCAGCGAGUCAUGGAUAUCUCUCGCAAAAGGGAGACAUAUGGUAUUAGAGACAUCAACGAUGCAGGAGAAAGGUCACGUAAUCAGUCCGCCAUGGUUAGAUCAUUGAGGAGAACUACGUCCUAUAUAGAUGACGAUCAUAUUUUUGCUGGCUUUCAGGAUGUUGUAGAAAGCUUGCUAGCUGAACUUCUCAAAGAAGAGCCUCGUCGAAGUGUCAUCUCCAUUUAUGGUAUGGGUGGUUUAGGCAAGACCACUCUUGCAAGAAACCUCUACAACUCUCCUACUGUAGUCUCUAGCUUCCAAACACGCACUUGGAUAUGUGUUUCUCAAGAGUACAGCACCAUGGAUCUCCUUAGGAAUAUCAUAAAAUCCAUCCAAGGUCGCACAAAGGAAAGUCUGGAUUUGUUGGAAAAGAUGACAGAGACGGAUCUAGAAAUUCACCUUCGUGACCUCUUGAAAGUUCGCAAAUAUCUUGUGGUGGUUGAUGAUGUAUGGCAGAGAGAGGCAUGGGAAAGUUUGAAAAGAGCCUUCCCAGAUAGCAAGAAAGGAAGCAGGGUGAUUAUUACCACACGCAAAGAGGAUGUUGCUAAAAGAGCAGAUGACAAAGGUUUUGUCUAUAAACUUCGUUUCCUUAGCGAAGAAGAAAGUUGGGACCUCUUUUGCAGGAAACUACUUGAUGUUCAGGCAAUGGUCCCAGCAAUGGGAAGGUUAGCUAAAGAUAUGGUGGACAAGUGUGGAGGCUUACCUCUUGCAAUUGUUGUAUUAAGCGGGCUACUUUCUCAUAAAAAGGGGCGAGAAGAAUGGCAAAAGGUGAAGGACCACCUUUGGCAGCAUAUGAAAGAUGACUCCAUUGAAAUCUCAUAUAUACUCUCAUUGAGCUACAACGAUUUGUCAACUUCGCUCAAGCAGUGUUUUCUUUACUUUGGUAUUUUUCCAGAAGAUAGUAUGGUCGGUGUUGAAAAGAUAAUGUGGUUGUGGAUGGCCGAAGGAUUCAUACCAAGAGGAGAAGAAAGAAUGGAGGAUGUUGCUGAACGCUUCCUAAAUGAGCUUAUAAGACGAAGCUUGAUUCAAGUCGUAGAUACAUUUUGGGAAAAAGUUAUUAAAUGCAAGAUCCAUGAUCUAGUUCGGGAUCUUGCCGUGCAAAAGGCAUUGGAGGUGAAGUUUUUUGACAUUUGCGAUCAAAGAAAUCACUCCAUAUCCAGCUGUAUCAGACAUGUCAUUCAUGGUCAAACACAAAGGUAUCUCUCACUUGAUUUCCCCAACUUGAUAUUAAGGUCAAUUAUGUUUCUAGAUCGAGAUUUUGGUAAGCUGGAUCUUUUAAAGUUUCGUAAUGUGUUCCAACAUUUAUAUGUGUUGAACUUGGAUCUGACGAUUUGUCAUGGCAGUAAACUACCUGAUGCCAUUGGAAGUUUGUACCACCUCAAGUUCUUAAGCUUGAUAGGUCCCGAUCAGAUUAAUCUCCCCUCCUCCAUUGGCAAUCUCAAGAAUUUACAGACACUCAUCAAUCACUAUGAUGAUGGAAGUGGUUCAAAAGCCUGCGGCUCACUACCUCCCGAGACAUCUAACCUAAUUAAGCUGAGACAUUUAAUUGCUUUCUAUUCCCAACCUCUGCAACUUAGCAAACUCACUAAUCUUCAAGUUCUUAAAUACAUUUGUUGUGAUCAGUGGAAAGAUUUUGACCCUGUUGGUUUAGUCAAUCUUGGAGAAUUAGACAUGCGUAAUAUUAAGAAAUCUUACUCCCUAAAUAACAUUAGCAGCUUGAAAAACCUUAGCACUCUCAUAUUGGGUUGUGCAAGUGGUGAAUCAUUCCCAGCCCUUGAAUAUCUUACUACUUGUCAAAAUCUACACGAAUUGUGGUUAGAUGGGAGAAUAGAAAUACUGCCUCAGUUUCCAAACUCCAUCACAAUGGUGGUCCUUUUGUAUUCGAAACUCAUGGAAGAUCCGAUGCCUAUGCUGGGAAUGUUGCCAAACCUAAGGAAUCUCGAUCUAGUAGAAGCUUAUGAAGGAAAAGAAAUAACUUGCAAAGGUAACAGCUUCAGUCAACUGGAGUUCCUUCGUCUUGAUAGUCUUUGGAACCUAGAAAGAUGGCAAUUAGCCACAAAUGCUAUGCCUCUGAUUAAAGGCUUUGGUAUCCAUGACUGUCCAAAGCUGAAGGAGAUUCCCAAGAGAAUGAAAGAUGUUGCUAUCCUGGAGAGGUUGAAGUCAAUUCCUGUUGAGGUAUAUUUUAUUUAUAAAUUAAUUCUUAUCUAUAAUGACCAUUAAAUUUAAUGAAUAAAACUGAUCCAACAAGAUGUUUUGUUUGACAUUUUUAUAAACAUUUAACUUGUAUACCCAUGACAAUUUAAAGAAUUUUCAUAUUAUCAACUUAAUAAAAUAUCAACUAUAAGUAAUUGUUUAUAAAUAAAUUAAUUAUGACCGAGACUGUGUUUGGUAUGACAGAAGUCAUUUUCCUAGAAAAUAUUUUCUGGUGGCUGGUUGGUGAAUGCAAAAUAUUUUUUGUAUAUAUUAAAAAUUAAUAAUAAUAAUAUUAUCAAAUUGAAAAGUGUUCUAAUGAAAUUUUUAUGUGCUAAUUAAGACUAAUGAAAAUGUCUAAGUAGUCAGAGCAACCAAUAUGAAGGUAAAAUUUAAGAUAGUUUUACAGAGAAAGUCAUUUUCUCCAUUUCGUUGGAAAAUGUUCCGAUAGGCAAACACUAGAAAAUGACUCCUAGUGAAAAACGUUUCAUGAAAAAGCGGCCCGAGUUUUAUUGGAAACCUUUUUUUUUUUGGUAAUCAGUUUUAUCGGCAAACUAUUAUUCGGUUGACACUUGCUACUAUCAUGAAGAUUAUAAUUAGUCAUUUUAGGUAAUUCAUAAUUUUUUGUGUAUUUUCCCCACUUGCGGGAUUAUACUGGGUUUGUUGUUGUUGUUAUAUAAUUUUUUUGUAUUUUCUUGAAUACUAAUUAUGAAUAUUAUAUAGUUUUGGAUUUAGGCGAAAUAGGAGAAGCAGCUGUUAAGGAAAAAUAAAAAGGCAAAUGCGGACUUGAUACAAUGGUUAUAAAAAAAGGAAGGGAAAAAAAAAAGGAAGAUGCGGAAUUUCUGCCAAGCACUUUGAGACAUUUGCAGUUGGAUUUUAAAAGUACUAAUCACAGUUGUCUACCACUUUACAGAGUAUUUUAGCACUGUCAGUUAGAGCUUUUUUUGGUUUCCCACUCCGUGUCCGAUAUCCGUAUUGGGGCUCGACUAAAUUUGGAUUCACGCCGGGAAGUCCCAUAGUGAAAGUAAAGAACUCUCUAACAAAGGCGACUCCAUACAGAGGCUCACACCCGAGACCUCUGUUUAAGGAUGAAUGAGUACUUACCACUACACCACAACCCUUGUUAGUUUGUCAAUUAGAGCUUAUCUCAACUUCUCUGUUUAGUUUCUUUUGAGUGUUUGAAAUUGGUUUGAAGACAAUUGUUUUUCGGAUUGUACUCGAAAAACUAUUUUCUAUUGUUUUAAUUGUUCAACUAUUAUCUUGCUUAUUUACAUUUAAGGCAAGGCUUUCUGUAAUAUAUUUCAACAUCUGUAUAUUCUGGAGUUAGAGAACAUCUAUUUUGCCAACAUAUUUGAACUCUCAUCCUCAGUUGACGGACUCAAAAGCCUACAAGUCACAAACAUGCUUGAUCCAGAUAUUGCUCAAGCAGAUUAGCUUGAUUAAUUUGAUUACAACAACAACAUAAUACCCAGUCUUAUUCCACACAGUGGGGUCUGGGAAGGUAGUGUGUACGUAGACCUUACCCCUACCUUGUGAGGAAAGGGAGGUUGUUUUCAAUAGACCCUCGGCUCAGGAAAGCAUAAGCACUACAAUAAUGAAAAUAUAGACAAGAAGGGACAAUCAAAAAGCCAUAUAAAAGCAGAAUAAAAACAAGAUAUUAAGGUAAUCAACAAUGAAAGAAAACAACGGUUAGUCAUAAAAACCUACUGCCCACAGAAAGCGAGACUACGUGCCAGCUUGAUUAAUUUGAUUAACUUAAGAGAUUAAAUUUAGCUACUCGAUAUGGAGAAACUCUGCAAGUCGGCAAACUCACAAAUUGACAAACUCCUAAAUACAUUCGAUAUGAUCAGAGGAAAAAUGUUAAUGGUGUUGGUUUGGUCAAUCCUCAAGAACUAGUUGUGGAAGUAUUUGGAAAUCUUACUCCUUAAAUACCGUUAGCAAUUUUCACUUAGUACUCUUAUGCUAUGUUGUAAAUCUUGGGAAUUAUUUCCAACCCCUGAACCACUUUCUUCUUUUCAAUACCAAACUAGUAAAAGGAAAAGCUCUACAUCUAAGCUAUAAAAAACCAGCCUAGUUGGAUGGAGAAUAUCAUCCUCCUACAAAAGGGGAAACAUUUCAGCAUUUCUGAACAUAACAUUUAGAUCAUAAGUUCACAUUUAGAGUUGCAACCAAUCAACUUCAUUUUUUUAAUUAAUUCAAGUAAUAGAAAAGCACAAUGCACAUUACCUAAAGUAUUGGCUAACACAAGGUUCCCUCAAUUAUGCUUUUCUUAGUUGUUCUCAACCAAUUCCUUAGAAUUUCUCCAUAUUUAAUCCAUAGUUCAAUCAUCAAUAGAUCAAUUUCAUCAUAAUAACUAUUACCCAAGGUUGCCCAUAUCAAUUAGACACCGAAGAGUGUGGCCCAGUGGUUAAUGAAGUGAUUGUAAACUUUGAAGACUAGAGUUCAAAUCUUAGCAGAGACAAAAAUACUAGGGUACAGUACUUCUUCUUUGUUCAGUCUUUCCAUAAAGAAUUUAACUUAUAUACAAUUGAAAGUGUAAAAACUUUUUCACUAUCAAAUGUACUAAUAGUGUAGAAAUUUUCUUGCAUUGUCUGUGCUCUUUGAUAAAUAUAUGUGCAGAAGAACUAGGGUAUAUUAUCAAUUAGUUUCCUUUUUCAUUUUUCACUUUUCUACAGGAUUUGAGGGGAGCCUUGAAACAACAGUAAAGUUGUAUCUGUGUGACCUAUAAGUAAUGGGUUCGAGCCGUAGAAGCAGCCACUAAUGUUUGCAUUAGGGUAGGCUAUCUAUAUCACACCCCUUAGGGUGCGGCCCUUCUCCGGAUCCACGGGAUGCCUGUGCACUAGGUCCAUAAUUUACAGAACUUUCUACCCCUUUUCAGCUGGCAAAUCCCAUUCUUCUACAAAAUGUCGUAACUAUGUUGACAACUACCAAAACACAGAAGAACUCAUUCCUGAGAGGGGACAUGAAUUAAGGAACUAAAUUACUUCUCCCCCCCCCCCCCCUAAGAAUAACAUGAUCAGAGUACUAUUAGUGAUUUCAAUUUUUAACAGCUAAAAAAUUGAUUAGAAUGUAUUAACAGAACAGUUUGACUUUGUGAAUAGGAAUGGAGGUACCUUUUUUGAAGAAUUACGAGGAAGAUUAGCUGAAGAAGAACAGUAAAUGUCUUGGAAACUUCCUUUCAUUUUCUUCAAAUGGAAAAAUAAAGAGUUUAGACUUUAUUACUUUUCAAAUUCGGAAGGUUAUUGGGUUCAUAGGAGGAUGACGGCGGAAGAGGGUGGCGUUGAAGGAAGCGGAGGGAGUUCUUCAGCUUCUGCUUCAGAGAUGGAGAAAGGAUCGUUAUAUCUUCCAUUGGAGUUGAGAUUGAGAUUUGAGACUGAAAUUGAAGGGUUUACAUUAUGUUUGUAGAGAAAUGCAAAAACGAAGGGAAGAUGGGGAGGAAAUUUUAUGUAGCUAUACAUCGAAAUUUUUCUUU
RNAcentral lists this long non-coding RNA (6046 nucleotides) under Nicotiana tabacum (common tobacco). Its description in RNAcentral is "long non-coding RNA (NTAB_LNC009349)". The record is from RNAcentral. Lineage: Eukaryota; Viridiplantae; Streptophyta; Magnoliopsida; Solanales; Solanaceae.